GACGAACGCUGGCGGCGUGCUUAACACAUGCAAGUCGAACGGAAAGGCCCUGCUUUUGUGGGGUGCUCGAGUGGCGAACGGGUGAGUAACACGUGAGUAACCUGCCCUUGACUUUGGGAUAACUUCAGGAAACUGGGGCUAAUACCGGAUAGGAGCUCCUGCUGCAUGGUGGGGGUUGGAAAGUUUCGGCGGUUGGGGAUGGACUCGCGGCUUAUCAGCUUGUUGGUGGGGUAGUGGCUUACCAAGGCUUUGACGGGUAGCCGGCCUGGGAGGGUGACCGGCCACAUGGGGACUGAGAUACGGCCCAGACUCCUACGGGAGGCAGGAGUGGGGAAUAUUGCACAAUGGGCGGAAGCCUGAUGCAGCAACGCCGGGUGCGGGAUGACGGCCUUCGGGUUGUAAACCGCUUUCGCCUGUGACGAAGCGUGAGGGACGGGAAUGGGGAAAGAAGCACCGGCUAACUACGG
RNAcentral lists this ribosomal RNA (467 nucleotides) under uncultured bacterium. Its description in RNAcentral is "partial 16S ribosomal RNA". It matches the Rfam family "Bacterial small subunit ribosomal RNA", at positions 28 to 506 of the family's 1533-position model. The record is from RNAcentral.